GCCGGGGUAGCUUAGCCUGGUUAUAGCGCCAGACCUCCUACAAAAGGGGCAAGACUCAUAAUCUGGAGGUCGCGGGCUCGAAUCCCGCCCCCGGCA
RNAcentral lists this transfer RNA (96 nucleotides) under Candidatus Nitrosocaldaceae archaeon. RNAcentral's name for it is "tRNA-Met". It matches the Rfam family "tRNA". From Rfam's summary of the family: Transfer RNA (tRNA) molecules are approximately 80 nucleotides in length. The record is from RNAcentral. Lineage: Archaea; Thermoproteati; Nitrososphaerota; Nitrososphaeria; Candidatus Nitrosocaldales; Candidatus Nitrosocaldaceae.